UACGGAGGAUCCGAGCGUUAUCCGGAUUUAUUGGGUUUAAAGGGUGCGCAGGCGGGAGAUUAAGUCGGCGGUGAAAUUUUGCAGCUCAACUGUAAAAGUGCCUUCGAAACUGGUUUCCUUGAGUGUAGAUGAAGUAGGCGGAAUUUGUGGUGUAGCGGUGAGAUGCAUAGAUAUCACGAGGAACUCCGAUUGCGAAGGCAGCUUACUAAGCUACUACUGACGCUCAGGCACGAAGGCGUGGGGAUCAAACAGGAUUAGAUACCCU
RNAcentral lists this ribosomal RNA (265 nucleotides) under uncultured prokaryote. RNAcentral describes it as "partial 16S ribosomal RNA". It matches the Rfam family "Bacterial small subunit ribosomal RNA", at positions 524 to 788 of the family's 1533-position model. The record is from RNAcentral.